This 505-nucleotide long non-coding RNA is filed under the name Androctonus crassicauda. Lineage: Eukaryota; Metazoa; Arthropoda; Arachnida; Scorpiones; Buthidae. The record is from RNAcentral.
CUGGAUUAAUAAAAUAGUGCUUCGGGCAGUGAAAGAGCAAAGCUUGUAUAAGUUUCAGCGAUAUGUGCCUAUACAUUAGAUAUAUCGAUGAUAUACUUGUAUGUUGGGAAGAUAAUCAGCAGUUGGAGGAUUUUGCGAAUGAACUAACAAUGCAGCGAUAUGGCUUGUCAUUGAAAAGAGACCAACGAAGUGACCAAUCUGUGCAUUUCCUAUACAUCAAGAUAGAUUUAGUGGAAGGAAGGCUAAAAACCAGUGUCUACCAUAAGCCAACCUAUGAAGCUGUUCCUAUACCUAGAUGGUCAAAUGACCCAAAUAGUUACAAGCGGUGACUUUUCGAAGUUUUUAUAGAAGAGCUUUGAAUUAUUGCACUGAUAAUGAGGACCUAAUGACGGAAUUAAGAUACAUUUCAGAAGUGGGUAAGAAGCAUGAGUAUAGCAAUGGAUAUCUUAUGAAAAUCUUGGAGCAGGUUAAAAGUAUGGGCACUUUAAGAGAAUGUAAUGAAGAG